GGACAGGUGGCCGAGUGGUUAAUGGCAGCAGACUGUAAAUCUGCCGGCGAGAGCCUACGCUGGUUCGAAUCCAGCCCUGUCCACCA
Molecule: transfer RNA, 86 nt
Filed under: Alphaproteobacteria bacterium
Lineage: Bacteria; Pseudomonadati; Pseudomonadota; Alphaproteobacteria
Also listed under: 1 other name
Description: tRNA-Tyr
Rfam family: tRNA
About the family: Transfer RNA (tRNA) molecules are approximately 80 nucleotides in length. Their secondary structure includes four short double-helical elements and three loops (D, anti-codon, and T loops).
Source: RNAcentral